This is a long non-coding RNA of Helianthus annuus (common sunflower), 741 nucleotides long. RefSeq lists it as uncharacterized. Lineage: Eukaryota; Viridiplantae; Streptophyta; Magnoliopsida; Asterales; Asteraceae. The record is from RefSeq and is a predicted model, not a curated record. The transcript has 2 exons.
CGUGCCAGGGCCGAAAGACACGGGCACUAAAAAAGCCCGGGCAAGCCCGGGCCAAACAUGGUAUAUAUAAAAAAAAUUCGAUUGAAAUGUGGAAAAUUAGCACUACGGCCGAAAAACUUGCCCGAACCGUGGCCCUGCCAGAGCCUAACUAAGAACCGCCCCUGCUUGAGGCUAUUGCAGGAAAAGUGUUGUUGUCGUCGUUGGAUGUGAGCUUUGUGUAUGGAGAUGGUUUCGCUAUGGUGUUAUCACAUGUGAAACUAAUUAGGUGUUCCUCACUUUUUUGAACUUUCAUGAUUUUUUCAUGGAACCCAGGUAAAACUUCUCAACAAUGGCCUUUGCUUUGCUAAUUUAUUCCUAACUGCAAUUUUGUUAUUAAAAAAUACAGUUACUUUACUAUUCAAAUGUUGAGGUAGUUCUUGCUCGUGUUUGGACAUUAUUAAAGUUUUAUGAUUGGCUCUUAUUACUAGCAAGAAACUCCGUUGCUUCAACACAGUGGCAAUUCAUGCAUCUUUGAUUCAUUUCUACAGGAAUACGCUAUCAAAGGAUUUCCAAAUUGGAGAAUAUAUUGUUAUUGACCAAAGAGCUAAGGAAGUAAAACCUAUAGCAGAGUUUGCACUCCAUGUCAUCAUUUUAUUCGUAGUAAUUUGUUGGUUGAUACAUAUAACUUUCAUUGUUCAAUGUAAUAUGUAAUUACUCUUUCGAUGUUUAUUAAAUAUCACAUUUAACUUUUUCGUUGUUUAA